This 484-nucleotide ribosomal RNA is filed under the name uncultured bacterium. Its description in RNAcentral is "partial 16S ribosomal RNA". It matches the Rfam family "Bacterial small subunit ribosomal RNA", at positions 29 to 507 of the family's 1533-position model. The record is from RNAcentral.
AGUGAACGCUGGCGGCAGGCCUAACACAUGCAAGUCGAGCGGCAGCGCGGGGGCAACCCUUGCGGCGAGCGGCGGACGGGUGAGUAAUUCGUCGGAAUCUGCCUUGUUGUGGGGGAUAACGUAGGGAAACUUACGCUAAUACCGCAUACGUCCUACGGGAGAAAGUGGGGGACCGCAAGGCCUCACGCAGAAAGAUGAGCCGACGACCGAUUAGCUAGUUGGUGGGGUAAAGGCCCACCAAGGCGACGAUCGGUAGCUGGUCUGAGAGGAUGAUCAGCCACACUGGGACUGAGACACGGCCCAGACUCCUACGGGAGGCAGCAGUGGGGAAUAUUGGACAAUGGGCGAAAGCCUGAUCCAGCCAUGCCGCGUGUGUGAAGAAGGCCUUCGGGUUGUAAAGCACUUUUGUCCGGAAAGAAAUCCAUGGAGCUAAUACCUUCGGGGGAUGACGGUACCGGAAGAAUAAGCACCGGCUAACUUCGUG